ACUCGCGGCCCCUAACCUGCCCCGGGAGCCCGGGAGUGCGGCUUGGGAAGGAGGGAAAGGAGUGUGUGAGCAGGGAUUGGCCCGAACCUAUCUCCACGCUCUCCCCCGGGACUGGAGGUGAAGGGGGGCGUGGAGAAAAUCUCAGGGAACAGGGGCUUCGACAGGGGGCUCCCGCCCGCCCGAGCCCCCUCCCCAAAAUGCGAGGCCUGCACAGUAUGCCUUCUCCGCAAAACCUCGGCAAGCGGGUUAGUGAAUUCAGGUCACUAAGAAGCUGAGCCCGCGGAAAGCUGCCCAAACACCCCCUUCUCUAGGGGACUCCCCACGCCCCCCGCCGGGACGCGUUCCCGAAGUCGCCGCCUGGACUGCAACCGCGUGGCCUGCGCCGCGUCCUCUUCUCCGCAGCCUCCGAGGCCCGUGCGACCAAGCUGAAACCGCUUAUUCUCCGGAGCCCCUAUGACCCCGGGUGGGGGCCAGGGCUCGCCUCGAUCGCAGCCCGUGCGCCCUCCGGACUCCAGUUCGCCGGGACUGGGCGACACCAGAAGCGGCUAGUGUGAGUGAAACAAACGGGAAAUUUGCUCUGGCCCGCCUGCCCAGCCACCCACGGCUGCCUGUUGGCCAAUCACCAUUUGACCAGUCCAGGAAGAGCAACUGUGGCAGGCCUGAUUUCCUGGGAGGCCCCAGACUCCCUUUGCCUACCUCUUCCUCUCUGACCCCAUCCUCGCUUUGAUGCCCGGGACCUGCUACCCAGAAACAACGUGAGGCUCAGAGAGAAGAAAUGACUAAAAUUACACAGCUGGUACAUGGCAGAGGUGGAACUAAAAAGUUAAGUGUGUCUACCCCAGAGCCGAGUAGACCUGCUCUUUUUUGAACACUUCCUGGACUUUCAUGCCUUUGUCCCAGCUGUGCCCUCUCCCUGGAUGCCCCUUCCAUCUGGGCAGCUCCUACUAGACCUGCCUUGGCAUACAUAACACAGGAGAACGGAUUGCCAAAGGGUAGGAGAGUGCCUGGUCUAUAGUGUGCGCCCAACACAGAUUUGGUGAAUGAAUGAACACUGGGUCCAGCAGACCUGGAUUCUUCCAUGUAACCCACUGUGUGGCCUUGGUGGAGCCAUGCGGGUGCAAUAAUCCUGGUUUCCACCCUUCAGGGCUGCUGCUGGGACUCAGUGAGAUCAUCAUGUAUCUAAUGCCCUUUGCUCAGUGCUGGGCACACAGUCAAUGCGCAUUGAAUCUUAGCUAUUGCUACCUUUACAAUCAAUCAAAAGUCACUUCUGAAGAAUAGACAGGGCUCCCCCAGGCCAAAUAAAUAAUUCCUCCCGGGACAAACCCCAGCUCUCACUCCCUCCUCUUUAGGCAGGGGGCUCCCUGAAGGACAGAGACCCGGUUUUAUUCCAUCUUGCCGUCCCCCAUGGUGCCGGGCAUACAGUGGUGCCCAGUAAACGUGUGUGUUGCACAAACAUGCGGUAACUAGGGCCCCAUCUUUUUCAAAAGAACACACUCCCCAGGUGCAGCCGCAAAGAGAGACUGUUCAGCUGUUCAGGUGAGGUUUUGGGGUGAAACUCGUCUGAAUAAUAGUUUUACUGAACACAGCCUCACCCCCAACAAGGAGGCAAUUUGAGGUGGGGGUGGGGAGACUUAAAUGUGGGCUCCCGGGUUUUAAAGGGGGUAGCGCGGGAGGAAGCCCCCCAAUAAUUGCGGGGCUUCCCCCACCCCCAGAGCUGGAUUAGAGGCUGCGCCACUUCCUUUGGGGCUCGCUCGCGCUUCCUGGGAGCCUUUGAUGUGGGUUCUUGGUAGAUCCUGCCCGCGGGGCCUGGAUGCGGGCGGAGCCUCCGGGCAGGGCGGGGCCUCAGCCUGGGUCCGCACUGGGGAGGCGGCCACCCGGUAGCUUGGGCGGGUUCCGCCCACCUCCCGCCUGUAUUUACAGCCCCCUUCCAACAUCCCCGACUCCCUGAGGGCGCCCCUCAUUCUGCUCGGCCUUGCCUUCCCCAUUCGGCCACAUCCUCCUCUCUCCCAACUCAGCUUCGACCCCCAAAGCCUUUCCCUAACCAUCGGAACCACAGGCUUUUCUCCGGCCUCUGAGUGCCAGUCUUCAACUAGGUGUCUUUUAAAAAAUCAAAAAGCAUCUCAUCCUACGGGAUGUGUGUGAAAAAAUAAAAAUAAAAUAAAGAAAAAGGGGGCCGGGCGCGGGAGCUCACGCCUGUAAUCCCAGCACUUUGGGAGGCCUAGGCGGGCGGAUCACCUGCAGUCAGGAGUUCGAGACCAGCUUGACCAAACUAGAGAAACUCCGUCUCUACUGAAAAUACGAAAUUAGCCGCGCAUGGUGGCGCAUGUCUGUAAUCCUAGCUACUCUGGAGGCUGAGGCAGGGGAAUCUCUUGAACCUGGGAGGUGGAGGUUGCAGUGAGCCGAGAUAGCGUCAUUGCACUCUUGCCUGGGCAAUAACAAGAGCGAAGCUCCAUCUCCAAAAAAAAAAAAAGAAGAAAGAAAAAAAGAAAAAGAUAGCCCAUCGCUCCUCCAUUGCAGACCCAAAGGCUGUCAGCUGAAUGGAAGGUGCUUCCUCACGACCUUUGGGAUAAGUAAAUUUGAAGUAAUAGAAAUAGCCAGCUGGGCGCGGUGGCUCAUGCCUGUAAUCCCAGCACUUUGGGAGGCUGAGGGGGGCAGAUCACCUGAAGUUAGGAGCUCGAGACCAGUCUGGCCAACAUGGUGAAACCCCGUCUCUACUAAAAAUAAUUAGCCAGGCGAGGUGGCGUGCACCUGUAAUCCCAGCUACUCAAGGAGGCUGAGGCAGGAGAAUAGCUUGAACCCGGGAGGCAGAGUUUGCAGUGAGCUGAGAUCGCGCCAUUGCACUCCAGUGAGCCGAGAUCGCACCAUUGCACUCCAGCCUGGGCAACAAGAGCGAAACUCCAUCUCAAAAAAAAAAUUUUUUUUGAAAAAUAGGCCAGGCCUGCCUCAGUGCUCUUACACGUACUGUCCCCUCUGCCUGGAUCAGUUUGUGCCCCUGCCCCCAAAUUUUCAGGGCUGGCUCCCUCGCCUCCUUCAGAUCUCUGUUUGAAGUUCAGCUCAUGUCUGCCACAUGUCCUAACCACCGUAUUUAAAAUAGCAGCCUCAGGCCAGGUGCGGUGGCUCACGUCUGUAAUCCCAGCACUUUGGGAGGCCAAAGCAGGCAGAUCACCUGAGGUUGGGAGUUCGAGACCAGCCUGACCAACGUGGAGAAACCACAUCUCUACUAAAAAUACAAAAUUAGCCGGGCGUGGUGGAGCAUGCCUGUAAUCCCAGCGACUCUGUCUCAAAAUAAAAUAAAAUAAAAUAAAUAAAAUAAAAUAAAAUAAAAUAAAAUAAAAUAUAAAAUAAAAUAAAAUAAAAUAAAAUAUAGCAGCCUCUCACCCCACUCCACCUCUGGACUCCCUGUCCCCCUUCCUUGCUGUAUUUUUCUCCAUAGCAAUUACCACCACCAGCUGCCACACUCCAGAGAUUACCGUUCGUUUGUCUAUUGUCUGUCUCCCCCUGCUCACACCACCCCCAUUCGUGUGUGAGCUCCAGGAGAAGGGCCGGGGUUGCUGCUGCUCUGUGAGUCAUGAACCGUCCCCACCCCCUAGUCUGUCCUACAAAUUUGUUAAAUGAAUGAGCAAAUAAACAUAGUGGCUUCCCAGCUGACCAGUGAUGAAAGCUUACACUGCGUGAUCUAGGCUAGUCACUGCUGUCUUUCCCUCCCUCUCCUCAUCAGUGCAUUGAGAGAUGACAGUAGCUCGGCCUCUUAGAGCAGUAUGACGAUGGCACAAGUUACUAUUUGCCAAGCACAGAGCAUGACGUCAUGCCCAGAAGCCCAGGAUACAAUCCAGAGACAAUGACAAAUGGGGGAUUCCCGCUUCUGCAGAAGGUGGGGCGACUGGUGCCCAGGGGCCCCCAGGAAGUGCCCUUACCUGACUCCCAGGAUCCUCCUCUGUGACCCUGGGGCCUUCCAACCUGCCAGGUACUUUUCCUGUAUUAUCUUAUUUUAUCCUCCCAAUAGCCUCUGUGAGCAGCACACUCCCCAUUUCACAGACAAGGAAACUGAGGCUUACACAAGUGAAGUGACCUGCUCGACGUUGCACAAGGAAGUGGCAAAGUCAGCCUCUGAAUCCAAGCCGUUGGGCUCUAAAGGCCCUGAUGCCACUCAGCUAACCAUGUGGCCUCUGGACAUCACUGCCAUCUUUUCUCUUACCCUCCUCUCCUCCUUGCACUGUGUUCUGAGGGUCAGCCUGACAACCCGUGUCCCCUGGGCAGAUGUGCAGAGGAAGAUCAAGUUGUUGUUCGCCAGGGGCCGAGGGCAAAUUUCUGGCUUCCCACGGCCACCACUUACUGGGAGUUUCGGAUGAGGUGCUUCACUGCCCUGAGCUCUUCUUCCGGGUCAAGUGGGGAUAAAAAUAAAACAAUACCCACCUUGUGGGAAGACAUGGGAUCCUGAAAAACCUGGCAACGUGCCUGGCACAUGGCAAGUACUCCGUAAAUGUCAGCUAGGAUUAUUUUUAUCAUUGACACCAUAUUUGGGGGCCCCAGGCUGGCAGAGUACCUGCCAGGUGUCACCCCCUUCCUGAGUCCUGACAGUUUGGCUGCAGGCCUGCGUGGAGGCUUGGAAGGAAGAAGGGAGGAAAGGAGGAAAGGAGGAAAGGAGGAAGGGGUCAGGGAAGCCCCUCUGUUUGUUUUCUGUCUCUGAGAACUUCCCAGUCUGACUCUAGCCCCUUCCCCUCCCUGCAGGCACUAACACACAAGUCCCCCAUUCACCAGAAAUCUGUCCCAGGCUCCCUGGCUGCCAUGCUCCCUGGAUAAACCCACCAGGAUGCCCUCAGCCCCUGAGGGAAGAGGAGAGAGCUUACACUCCUCCGGGCCCCUAUUUCCACGCCCAUCACCAGGCCUGGGCCCUCACAAGGCUACACACACACCAGGAAGUGCCAGGAACACAGCCACGCCAGAGCUCUCACAGAUGCCUGUGCACACACACACACACACACACACACCUUUCCAGGCAAACUUGCAUACACUUUCCUAAUGGCCAGGUCUCAGGGGCUCUGUAGGGACCACCUCGGGACAGGACAUGGUCUUCCCUCCCCCAUUCCCAUUCCCCUUCCUGCCCUGUUUCCCUCUGUCUGUCCAUCCAUCUUCAUCAACCAGUCCCAGUGGGCCCCUGCUCACUCCCUCCGUUCCCCCUCCAUCCGUCCGUCCACACAUGGGUCCAUCUGUCUGUCGCCUGCCUGUAGCUAGCCCUGCAGUGAGCAGUCUAUCCCUACCCAGCCCUGCCCAUCACUUCUGCCACAACACCCCUGCAAGAUCCUGUCCCUGUCCUCAGCAGGGUCUCUCAUCAUUUCUCUAGAACCCACCCAUCUAUCCCCCCACCCCUUCAGCUGUGUCCUUCAUCUGUCAAUCUGUCCAUCCAUCCAGCCAUCCAUCCAUCCAUCCAUCCAUCCAUCCAUCCAUCCAGCCAUCCAUCCAUCCAUCCAGCCAUCCAUCCAUCCAUCCAGCCAUCCAUCCUUCCUUCCUUCCUUCUUCCUUCCUUCCCACCUUGGCCCAGCCCCUCUCAGCCCCCUCUGCAUCCCAUCCAUCACUUCUCAGACAGGCCUCCCCAGCCAGGUAGUCACCUCCUAGCGGCUCCAUCUGUCUGUCUGUCUACCAACCCAUCCAUCCAUCUGUCUGCCAGCCCAUCCAUCAUGCCACAGGCCACUUGUCCAUUCUUGCCACCUUUCACAUGUUCCCUAGUUAGGCCCCUGUGGUAUCCCCCAGCCAGCGCAGUGUAGGUGGGGGGCGUGUGUUCAUGUCAGUAGAUAUGUCUGUGGCCGCCAGCAUGCCUUGUGCUGAGCAGAGGGCAAGGGACCUGGAUGAGGAGCUGGGGAGGGGUUGGGGACAGGAAGACUGGGAACCUCUUGGUGGGGGGCACAGCAGCUUCCCUGUGUAUUCUCCCUGUGGUCUGUUGCACCAUAGGCAUCAAUGGCCUGCUCAAAAAUAAAUACACGACUGGAAAACUCUCCCACCUCCAUUCUUUUUCCUUUUUGGGGGGGUGGUGGGGACAGAGUCUUGCUUUGUCCUCCAGGCUGGAGUGCAGUGGCACGAUCUCAGCCCACUGCAACCUCCACCUCCUGAGUUCAAGCAGUUCUCCUGUCUCAGCCUCCCAAGUUGCUGGGAUUACAGGCCUGCGCCACCACGCCUGGCUAAUUUUUGUUUUUUGGUUUUGUUUUUUCUUUUCCGGGAUGGAGUCUUGCUCUGUCACCCAGGCUGGAGUGCAAUGGCCGGAUCUUGGCUCACUACAACCUCCGCCUCCCGGAUUCAAGUGAUUCUCCUGCCUCAGCCUCCCAAGUAGCUGGUAUUACAGGCACGCGCCACCACGCCUGGUUAAUUUUUGUAUUUUUAGCAGAGAUGGGGUUUCACCAUUUUGGCCAGGCUGGUCUCGAACUCCUGACCUCAGGUGAUCCACCUGCCUCUGCCUCCCAAAAUGCUGGGAUUACCGGCAUGAGCCACUGUGCCCGGCUUCCGUUCUUCCUGAUUACUUAAGAGGGGCCUGACUAAUGCCCAGCAUGGUUGGGGACCCAGGCCCCUCAAGCCCUGGAAGUCCCUUGCCUGGGGUCAUCCAGUCUCCUCCCUCAAAGGGCUCUCACUCCCCACCGCCGCUCCCUCUCCUCUUCCUGCUGCUGAGAGACGAGAGACCAGCAGAAAGAGACUUGGAGAGACGGAGACACAGAGGCAGAUGGAGAAUGCUGGGCGCCCGGGAAAGCCCAGGAAGGAGCCCGGGCCACGUGGAGGAGAGGCAGGUGGGAGGAGGCAGGAGAGAGCAAGGCUGCCCAGGACAAUGGAGCGGGACCGGAGGAGACGCGGGGAGGGACGCGGGCCAGGGGUGCGGUGGGGGGCACGGGGUGGAACUCCGGGUCCCGUAGGGCGGGGUGGGGGAGUGGGUGGGGGG
Molecule: long non-coding RNA, 6919 nt
Filed under: Homo sapiens (human)
Lineage: Eukaryota; Metazoa; Chordata; Mammalia; Primates; Hominidae
Description: non-protein coding lnc-CLCNKB-1:3
Source: RNAcentral